GACGAACGCUGGCGGCGUGCUUAACACAUGCAAGUCGAACGAUGAAGCUGGAGCUUGCUCCGGUGGAUCAGUGGCGAACGGGUGAGUAACACGUGAGCAAUCUGCCCUUGACUCUGGGAUAACUGCGGGAAACUGUAGCUAAUACCGGAUACGAGGCUCGAAGGCAUCUUCGGGUCUGGAAAGGAUUUCGGUCAAGGAUGAGCUCGCGGCCUAUCAGCUUGUUGGUGAGGUAAUGGCUCACCAAGGCGACGACGGGGAGCCGGCCUGAGAGGGGGACCGGCCACACUGGGACUGAGACACGGCCCAGACUCCUACGGGAGGCAGCAGUGGGGAAUAUUGCACAAUGGGCGAAAGCCUGAUGCAGCAGCGCCGCGUGAGGGAUGAAGGCCUUCGGGUUGUAAACCUCUUUUAGCAGGGAAGAAGCGAAAGUGACGGUACCUGCAGAAAAAGCACCGGCUAACUACGUGCCAGCCGCCGCCGUAA
This 483-nucleotide ribosomal RNA is filed under the name uncultured bacterium. Its description in RNAcentral is "partial 16S ribosomal RNA". It matches the Rfam family "Bacterial small subunit ribosomal RNA", at positions 28 to 523 of the family's 1533-position model. The record is from RNAcentral.